Molecule: ribosomal RNA, 95 nt
Filed under: uncultured bacterium
Lineage: Bacteria
Description: partial 16S ribosomal RNA
Rfam family: Bacterial small subunit ribosomal RNA
Source: RNAcentral
CACCGCCCGUCACAUCACGAAAGCCAGUUGUACUAGAAGCCGGCAAUUCAACCGCAAGGUGAUAGCCGUCCAAGGUAUGACUGGUGAUUGGGGUG